This 460-nucleotide ribosomal RNA is filed under the name uncultured bacterium. Its description in RNAcentral is "partial 16S ribosomal RNA". It matches the Rfam family "Bacterial small subunit ribosomal RNA", at positions 338 to 795 of the family's 1533-position model. The record is from RNAcentral.
CCUACGGGAGGCAGCAGUGAGGAAUAUUGGUCAAUGGACGCAAGUCUGAACCAGCCAUGCCGCGUGCAGGAAGACGGCUCUAUGAGUUGUAAACUGCUUUUGUACGAGGGUAAACGCAGAUACGCGUAUCUGUCUGAAAGUAUCGUACGAAUAAGGAUCGGCUAACUCCGUGCCAGCAGCCGCGGUAAUACGGAGGAUUCAAGCGUUAUCCGGAUUUAUUGGGUUUAAAGGGUGCGUAGGCGGUCGGAUAAGGUAGAGGUGAAAUCCCGAGGCUCAACUUCGGAAUUGCCUCUGAUACUGUUCGGCGAGAGAGUAGUUGAGGUAGGCGGAAUGUAUGGUGUAGCGGUGAAAUGCUUAGAGAUCAUACAGAACACCGAUUGCGAAGGCAGCUUACCAAGCUACUUCUGACGUUGAGGCACGAAAGCGUGGGGAGCAAACAGGAUUAGAUACCCCAGUAGUC